ACUGUAUUGGGUUGGCCGACCAUUUCUCUCAUUUCUUUGCCUCGUUUCUAUCUUAUUCUCUCUUGUAAGAAACAUCUAGAAGCCCUAACCACCAUUAACAAAUUCUUGGAUUGAGCUCCUAUCUUCUGUUUUAUCAUGGUAUCAGAGAGGGAAUCGAUCAAUCCUUGUUCUCCUCUAUCGGGCGGUGUUACCCUCGCCUGAUUUCGUCAAGUUUUCACUACAGUCGGAGUUAGGUGGAAGUUUCCUUUCUGAUCAAAUUUUGGUUACGCAGAAGAUUCAGUCACUCGAUUUCAUCAGAUUAGGAUUUUUCUUGGUGCAUUCAUCAGAGCUUUUCUCGUUUUCCAGGCCUUACUUCUUCAGGUUGCUAAGAAGGCUGGCAUUAUCUUCUCUUAUUUGAUUUAUUGUGUGUGGUUUUGUGUGUUAUCAUUUGUGACUUGUUGCUGUGAGUUGUUGAUUGAUACUCCUUAUUUGAUAUCAUGACUGGUUCUAGUACAUCUUCUGCAUAUACUCAUGAGCCUUUCUCUCCCUUGUACCUCCUAUUUUUUUUAUAUUCCCGGAGUAUCCCUUGUCCUGUACCUUUCUCAGGGAAUGGUUUUAGGGGUUGAAAUGUAGCAUGAUAGUUUCUCUUCCCUCUAGGAAUAAGAUAGUUUUUAUUAAUGGUUCAUGUCCCAAAACUGUUGUGACUUCCCCUGAUUAUAAACAAUGGGAUCGUUGUAAUAACAUGGUUAUAUCAUGGAUAAUUAGCUCGUUGUCUUCAAAAAUAGCUGAAAGUGGUCACUACUCAGAGACAGCUAAAAGUAUUUGGAAACAAUUAAGUAACAGAUAUGGAACUGUAAAUGGCACCAAAGUAUUUGAAUUAAAAAGGGAAUUAGCAUCUACUUAUUAAGGAUCCCUUGAUAUUGCUUCCUACUUCACCAAACUUAAAAGAAUCUGGGAUGAAUUGAGGGUACUAUGCACCAGCCAUGUAAAUACUUGUACGUGUGCUGCUAAAGAAGGUCUUCAGAAGGAGAAAGAGGAGGAUAAAGUCCAUCAGUUCUACAUGGGAGGAACAUGUGGGUGUCAAAAGCAAUUUGCUAAUGAUGCAACCUUUGCCAUCUGUUGACAAUGUCUACAACAUCCUUCUGUAAGAUGAAAAACAAAGACAAGUCAAUCCUACUAUACAAUUUACUGCUGAAUAAGCAUCUUUCAAUGUCAAUUCUCCCAAUGACAAACCUCUUCAACCACAAAUUAAUAUUUAGGGUCAUCAGAGACAUUUUGAUCAGAGAGUCAAUUUUGACAAAUCUAGGUCUAACCUCUUUUGUAAGUAUUGUGUGAUAUCUGGGAACUCUAUUGAUAAGUGUUUCAAGCUUCAUGGUUCCCUCCCAAUUUCAAGUUCACUAAAGGAAAGAAAGCAACUGCCAAUGUGGUUAUGGACUAUGACUUUUCUACUCCUAAGUGUUCUUCACCCAACCAAGCCCUUGUUUUUGCUGCUAGUUCUAAUGAACAUGGUUCUGGGGUGCCUGGAUUGACAAAGCAGCAGCAUUAUCAGUUGAUUUAACUACUACAGUAAUAUCUCUGAUUCUGGAUCUCAAUUCAACAUAAUGAGCUCUGCCAAUUUUGGUGGUACUUUACUGCCUAAGAAUAUAGUAUAUAGUUUUAAUUCUACCCUACUAAGUCAAUCUGAUUCAUUAACUUGUAUUGUUGACUCUUGUGCAUCAGAUUACACGACCUCAAACAAUAUUACCUUAUUAAUAUCACACAUUUACCUAUUCCUUUCCUUGUUUCCCUGCCAAAUGAAUACAAAGUUAAAGUCACUUGCACAAAUUUGUGUAAGAACAACCUUCUCAGCCCCAAGCUACUUUGUCAAAUUCUUGUUGCAGCUUGUCAUCUAUUUGUAAUCCGAUUUCUGUUCCUUCUAUUGUAAAUAUUAUUUCUUCCACUUGUAAUAAAGCUGCAAUGAAUAAAAUGGACAUUGUUUGGCAUUGUGGACUUGAUCAUGUCCCUUUUAUUAGAA
This is a non-coding RNA of Nicotiana tabacum (common tobacco), 1993 nucleotides long. NCBI's taxonomy places the organism in Eukaryota, Viridiplantae, Streptophyta, Magnoliopsida, Solanales, Solanaceae. The record is from RefSeq and is a predicted model, not a curated record.